CCUACGGGUGGCAGCAGUGAGGAAUAUUGGUCAAUGGGCGCAAGCCUGAACCAGCCAAGUCGCGUGAGGGAAGACGGCCCUACGGGUUGUAAACCUCUUUUGCCGGGGAGCAAGCCUGAGCACGUGUGCCCAGGCGGAGAGUACCCGGAGAAAAAGCAUCGGCUAACUCCGUGCCAGCAGCCGCGGUAAUACGGAGGAUGCGAGCGUUAUCCGGAUUUAUUGGGUUUAAAGGGUGCGUAGGCGGGCUUUUAAGUCAGCGGUAAAAAUUCGGGGCUCAACCCCGUCCGGCCGUUGAAACUGGGGGCCUUGAGUGGGCGAGAAGAAGGCGGAAUGCGUGGUGUAGCGGUGAAAUGCAUAGAUAUCACGCAGAACCCCGAUUGCGAAGGCAGCCUUCCGGCGCCCUACUGACGCUGAGGCACGAAAGUGCGGGGAUCGAACAGGAUUAGAUACCCCUGUAGUC
Molecule: ribosomal RNA, 460 nt
Filed under: uncultured bacterium
Lineage: Bacteria
Description: partial 16S ribosomal RNA
Rfam family: Bacterial small subunit ribosomal RNA
Source: RNAcentral